CGGAAACUGGCAUCAAACACGAUAUAUCAAGCCUCGACUCGGAACAACAGCAGCAAACCACAAAAACCACCAGCAUUCAUCAACGAAAUCUAUCCUGCGUUUCGCAUCGAUGUAUUCACGGAUAAACCGCUAAUCCGCACAAAUCGUGCGCGAAUGAGCGGCAUUCGCAACAUGCAGAAAUUACUCCACACAACCGGUUGAAAACAGAAAGAAAAAAAGAAAAAGAGAGCGGGCAGCGGAAGCAAACAGAGAAGGAGG
This 258-nucleotide unclassified non-coding RNA is filed under the name Bombus terrestris (buff-tailed bumblebee). Its description in RNAcentral is "misc RNA ENSBTSG00005022665.1". The record is from RNAcentral. Lineage: Eukaryota; Metazoa; Arthropoda; Insecta; Hymenoptera; Apidae.